AGUAACGGCGAGUGAAGCGGGAAAAGCUCAAAUUUAAAAUCUGGCAGUCUUUGGCUGUCCGAGUUGUAAUCUAGAGAAGCAUUAUCCGCGCUGGACCGUGUACAAGUCUCCUGGAAUGGAGCGUCAUAGAGGGUGAGAAUCCCGUCUUUGACACGGACUGCCAGCGCUU
Molecule: ribosomal RNA, 169 nt
Filed under: Laccaria sp.
Lineage: Eukaryota; Fungi; Basidiomycota; Agaricomycetes; Agaricales; Hydnangiaceae
Description: partial large subunit ribosomal RNA
Rfam family: Eukaryotic large subunit ribosomal RNA
Source: RNAcentral